This 508-nucleotide ribosomal RNA is filed under the name uncultured bacterium. RNAcentral describes it as "partial 16S ribosomal RNA". It matches the Rfam family "Bacterial small subunit ribosomal RNA", at positions 28 to 507 of the family's 1533-position model. The record is from RNAcentral.
GACGAACGCUGGCGGCGUGCCUAAUACAUGCAAGUCGAACGCUUCUUUCCUCCCGAGUGCUUGCACUCAAUUGGAAAGAGGAGUGGCGGACGGGUGAGUAACACGUGGGUAACCUACCCAUCAGAGGGGGAUAACACUUGGAAACAGGUGCUAAUACCGCAUAACAGUUUAUGCCGCAUGGCAUAAGAGUGAAAGGCGCUUUCGGGUGUCGCUGAUGGAUGGACCCGCGGUGCAUUAGCUAGUUGGUGAGGUAACGGCUCACCAAGGCCACGAUGCGUAGCCGACCUGAGAGGGUGAUCGGCCACACUGGGACUGAGACACGGCCCAGACUCCUACGGGAGGCAGCAGUAGGGAAUCUUCGGCAAUGGACGAAAGUCUGACCGAGCAACGCCGCGUGAGUGAAGAAGGUUUUCGGAUCGUAAAACUCUGUUGUUAGAGAAGAACAAGGACGUUAGUAACUGAACGUCCCCUGACGGUAUCUAACCAGAAAGCCACGGCUAACUACGUG